This is a long non-coding RNA of Astatotilapia calliptera (eastern happy), 623 nucleotides long. The record is from Ensembl. Lineage: Eukaryota; Metazoa; Chordata; Actinopteri; Cichliformes; Cichlidae.
UGGCUUCAGCAGCGGAACACGUCUGGCACUGCGGGAUUUGAUUCCCUGCCGUUGUAGUGUGUUACUGAUGGUGACCUUUGUUACUUUGGUCCCAGCUCUCUGCAGGUCAUUCACCAGGUCCCCCCGUGUGGUUCUGGGAUCUUUGCUCACCGUUCUCAUGAUCAUUUUGACCCCACGGGAUGAGAUCUUGCGUGGAGCCCCAGAUCGAGGGAGAUUAUCAGUGGUCUUGUAUGUCUUCCAUUUUCUGAUGAUUGCUCCCACAGUUGAUUUUUUCACACCAAGCUGCUUGCCUAUUGUAGAUUCACUCUUCCCAGUCUGGUGCAGGUCUACAAUACUUUUCCUGGUGUCCUUCGAAAGCUCUUUGGUCUUGGCCAUGGCAGAGUUUGGAGUCUGACUGUUUGAGGCUGUGGACAGGUGUCUUUUAUACAGAUGAUGAGUUCAAACAGGUGCCAUUCAUACAGGUAACGAGUGGGGGACAGAAAAGCUUCUUACAGAAGACGUUACAGGUCUGUGAGAGCCAGAGAUUUUCCUUGUUUGAGGUGACCAAAUACUUAUUUUCCACCCUGAUUUACGAAUAAAUUCUUUACAAAUCCUACCAUGUGGAUUCAUGGAUUUUUUUUUUC